Molecule: non-coding RNA, 73 nt
Organism: Pangasius djambal
Lineage: Eukaryota; Metazoa; Chordata; Actinopteri; Siluriformes; Pangasiidae
Source: the annotation of a GenBank genome assembly
UCCCUGGUGGUCUAGUGGCUAAGAAUACCUUGCUCUUACUGCUGUGGCCUGGGUUUGAUUCCUGGGCAGGGAA